RNAcentral lists this microRNA precursor (201 nucleotides) under Oryza nivara. RNAcentral describes it as "MIR812 microRNA precursor family". It matches the Rfam family "MIR812 microRNA precursor family". The record is from Rfam by way of RNAcentral. Lineage: Eukaryota; Viridiplantae; Streptophyta; Magnoliopsida; Poales; Poaceae.
AAAAAGACAAACCCUAGGUUUCCAUGUCCAACGUUUGACUGUCCGUCUUAUAUGAAAUUUUUUUAUAAUUAGUAUUUUCAUUGUUAUUAGAUGAUAAAAUAUGAUUAAUACUUUAUGCGUGACUUGUUUUUUUAAUUUUUUUCAUAAUUUUUUUAAAUAAGAUGGACGGUCAAAUGUUGGACACGGAAAUCAGAGUUUAUC